RNAcentral lists this ribosomal RNA (253 nucleotides) under uncultured bacterium. RNAcentral describes it as "partial 16S ribosomal RNA". It matches the Rfam family "Bacterial small subunit ribosomal RNA", at positions 524 to 776 of the family's 1533-position model. The record is from RNAcentral.
UACGAGGGGGGCGAGCGUUGUUCGGAAUUAUUGGGCGUAAAGGGUGCGUAGGCGGUUUGGUAAGUCUUAUGUGAAAUCUACAGGCUCAACUUGUAGUCUGCAUGAGAAACUGCCGGGCUUGAGUGUGGGAGAGGUGAGUGGAAUUCCUGGUGUAGCGGUGAAAUGCGUAGAUAUCAGGAGAAACACCUGUGGCGAAAGCGGCUCACUGGACCAUAACUGACGCUGAUGCACGAAAGCUAGGGGAGCAAACAGG